UCAGCUGGAUUUAGCAGUCCCACGACCUCGUCUCCAGCUGUGGAUUGUCUUUCCGCCUCCCGGCGCCUCUCCCACCUGGGGGUGAAGCCAGAGCUUCCUGCCGACAUGGAGCAAGGACAAGAGAAAGGUGUAAAAGGAGGCUGACCAAGGCCUGUUCCUGCUGGCCCAUGCUGCUCACCAGAAGCUCUGUGGAACUGUGGAAAAUGUGUCCCUGGCCCUCCUUUCAGCACUGGGCUGAGAUCAGACUCCCUCUUGAGAGGCCCUGGAUUCAAUUGAGGAAUGUUAUUUGGAGAAUAUAGAAACUUGUAGACAGGGGAGACAUUUGGGAAG
RNAcentral lists this long non-coding RNA (330 nucleotides) under Meriones unguiculatus (Mongolian gerbil). RNAcentral describes it as "lncRNA (ENSMUGG00000022027.1)". The record is from RNAcentral. Lineage: Eukaryota; Metazoa; Chordata; Mammalia; Rodentia; Muridae.